NNAUUCCCUGGGAUUGGGUUUGGGCCUUUCCUGCGCAGUUUCGCUGGAAGGCGAAAAAGGCCUCCUUCCGGAGGGGCCCGAGCCAUCAAUGAGAUACCACUCUAGAAGAGCUAGAAUUUUAACCUUGUGUCAGGACCUACGGGCCAAGGGACAGUCUCAGGUAGACAGUUUUUAUGGGGCGUAGGCCUUCCAAAAGAAUAACUGAAAGAAAGGAAAUCAAU
Molecule: long non-coding RNA, 221 nt
Filed under: Olea europaea subsp. europaea
Lineage: Eukaryota; Viridiplantae; Streptophyta; Magnoliopsida; Lamiales; Oleaceae
Rfam family: Bacterial large subunit ribosomal RNA
Source: RNAcentral